This 253-nucleotide ribosomal RNA is filed under the name uncultured bacterium. RNAcentral describes it as "partial 16S ribosomal RNA". It matches the Rfam family "Bacterial small subunit ribosomal RNA", at positions 524 to 776 of the family's 1533-position model. The record is from RNAcentral.
GACGUAGGUUGCAAGCGUUAUCCGGAAUUAUUGGGCGUAAAGCGUUCGUAGGUGGUUUGUUAAGUUGGAUGUUAAAGCCCAGAGCUCAACUCUGGUCAUGUGUCCAAAACUGACAGACUGGAGACAGGUAGAGGUAGAUGGAAUUCUGCAUGUAGGGGUAAUAUCCGUAGAUAUGCAGAGGAACACCGAAAGCGAAAGCAGUCUACUGGACCUGUUCUGACACUCAAGAACGAAAGCGUGGGUAGCAAACGGG